This is a non-coding RNA of Bombyx mori (domestic silkworm), 84 nucleotides long. The record is from Rfam. NCBI's taxonomy places the organism in Eukaryota, Metazoa, Arthropoda, Insecta, Lepidoptera, Bombycidae.
UUAACCUAAAUGUGUAUGGAGUUAGAACGUUUGCCAAGGUUUGCCGCUAGGGGCGCUGUUCCAACUGCAUACAAAUUUGAGUUA